GACGAACGCUGGCGGCGUGCUUAACACAUGCCAGUCGAACGCUGAAGACCUGGCUUUUGUUGGGUUGGAUGAGUGGCGAACGGGUGAGUAACACGUGAGUAACCUGCCCUCUUCUUUGGGAUAACGCCCGGAAACGGGUGCUAAUACUGGAUAUUCACUGAUCUUCGCAUGGGGGUUGGUGGAAAGGUUUGUUCUGGUGGGGGAUGGGCUCGCGGCCUAUCAGCUUGUUGGUGGGGUGAUGGCCUACCAAGGCUUUGACGGGUAGCCGGCCUGAGAGGGUGACCGGUCACAUUGGGACUGAGAUACGGCCCAGACUCCUACGGGAGGCAGCAGUGGGGAAUAUUGCACAAUGGGCGAAAGCCUGAGGCAGCGACGCCGCGUGAGGGAUGGAGGCCUUCGGGUUGUAAACCUCUUUCGCUCAUGGUCAAGCCGCAACUGUGGGUUGUGGUGAGGGUAGUGGGUAAAGAAGCGCCGGCUAACUACGUG
This 486-nucleotide ribosomal RNA is filed under the name uncultured bacterium. RNAcentral's name for it is "partial 16S ribosomal RNA". It matches the Rfam family "Bacterial small subunit ribosomal RNA", at positions 28 to 507 of the family's 1533-position model. The record is from RNAcentral.